Long non-coding RNA from Armigeres subalbatus, 1004 nucleotides. RefSeq lists it as uncharacterized. The record is from RefSeq and is a predicted model, not a curated record. Lineage: Eukaryota; Metazoa; Arthropoda; Insecta; Diptera; Culicidae. The transcript is spliced from 4 exons.
CUCCGCAGAACCGAACAGCGGAAGAAAAGGAAUCUUUUCUGUGCUGCCGCUGCGAUCACACCGCCAUCACGCAGGCGGCAUAAAUUAAAGUUUUUUUACACGCACGUUGCGCAGAAAGUGAAACUACCGACCAAAAGUGGACGGAACAGCGGCUGUGACGCAGGACCGGGCAAAUACAAACCUCCCUACGAGGACAGGAGCGCUAGCAUCGUGGAAACUGGCAGAAUUCAUUGGUCUCAUCCACUCGGUAGGAAGAACAUUUUAACCAUCCGGUAAACGCAAGUGGAAUUCCAUUCUUGCGGAUCAAUCGCUACCGCAUUGUCCGUUGAGUGAGCCAGGAUUCGACGGAUCAAAGCAGAUUGUCGCUCUGAGGAGUGGACGAAAACGGUUCCAGUGACAGCAAACAACGACCAAAGUCAUUGAAGGCCAUUGGUUUAGUGGAGGAAUUCGAGCGGUGCCAAUAUCACCCCACUGACUGGGGUUUUUGUGCCGGAUUUUGUUUUUGUGCUGGACUUUGUUUUUGUGCCGGAUCCAAUUCGUCAGCUGUCGGUGCGCGAUCGAUGCGGUUCGGCUGGAGAAAAAGGGCGUGCUAGCCUCGACGAGGGGAUCCAAGCUAUCGGUGUGGACCGACUUCGGAACUGUCGGGUGGUGUUCACUGGUGCGAGAUUGGUGACUGUGGCGUGCGGAAACAUCGUCAUCCUGACGAGAGGAUCGACUGCCUCGGAGGGAUCCCAUCCAGCUACCCGGUCGUGCUGGACGGCCAGAGGGGUCUCCAGCAGAGGAGUACCGUCGGUGAGAACCUCGGGAACGGCAUGCGAGAAUCGCGGUGGCGAAAUGGCUGCCGUGCAGGUGAAGCGUAGGGGGACGCCCCGAAGCAACCGUGAGUAAGGAAGACAAAUGUUAGUUUGUAAGAAAAUGAAGAUAUAGAGAAAGGAGAAGAGAGAGAUGCUUAGGAGCUAGGAAGGAAAGUGGGAUCAAUCCCCAAAUAUAUGUAUUAAAUUGAA